This 658-nucleotide long non-coding RNA is filed under the name Olea europaea (common olive). RNAcentral's name for it is "long non-coding RNA (OEUR_LNC002272)". Lineage: Eukaryota; Viridiplantae; Streptophyta; Magnoliopsida; Lamiales; Oleaceae. The record is from RNAcentral.
AGAAAUUGAAGAGUGCAAUUCAAGGGAGAAAAAUAUCAAAAAAUCAAGUUUUGAAUCAUUGAUUGGAAGAGAUAAAAGGUCUGGGUGUAAGAUUAAUCUCUUUUUCUACAUCUUUACUCAAAAUUCGGUGAUGUAUUCAAUAUCAACCUUUUGUUUUUCCUUUUGCACCAUGGGUAGUUAAAUUUCAUAUUAGGGCUAACAAUGUAAUCUACUUGAGACCCUUUUAUUUCUUUUAUAAAAGAGUCUUGUUAUUUUAUCAUACACGUAUUGAUUUUGAUAUGAGUUUAAUCCGUUGAAUUACUUGAUUACUAUUUGAUGAUUUUGUGAAUCUUUUUAUGAAUCGAAAGGUGAGUUUGAGGUUUAGACCACAUAGUAAAAUAUGAUAAAUUAGUAGAACAUGUAGAGAUAUCUAUACUAAUUAUUACGAUCAUUAUAUGAAUUCUUAGAACCAAUAUUUCGUUUAGCUAAGGUUGAUUCGCAUAGAGAUGUGUGAUUGAAUUAGUUAAAUAGAUUCAAUGAGAAUUCAAGAAUGGUAAAUUAAAUACAAUAAAAGAAUUUGAUCGAACACUACAUUAGAUUUUUGAAUCUUGAAUUAAGAUUUAAAUGUGAUCAAUAAAUAAAAUUGUUCUACCUUAAAUCUGUUCAUUAUUUGAAUUCU